RNAcentral lists this long non-coding RNA (6190 nucleotides) under Sus scrofa (pig). RNAcentral's name for it is "lncRNA (ENSSSCG00050053490.1)". The record is from RNAcentral. Lineage: Eukaryota; Metazoa; Chordata; Mammalia; Artiodactyla; Suidae.
CUCAAGGGCUAAUUUUUGUAUUCAUGGUCAGUCACCGAUGCUUGACAAUCAUUUUUGAAGAAAUUUGUUCAUUGUUUCGUAUCUCUUUAUUACUAAGACCAUGCUUAGGUAUUUGCAUAAUAUCAAUUUGCAUAAUGUACUCUAUCAGCAUUUAUGUGGUAUUUUAUUAUUUCAUCUCUUCUGUUAUUUUCUUGCCCUUUGCCUUUAGUUGUUACAUGUUUUUUUUUUUUUUAAGCUUAUUUCAGUGACAAAAGCACUCAGAGAUGCAGCAUAAACAAAUAUCCAUGCCUAUUAUUUUAAUAUAUUACUAUUUAGAUAAAGUUCUGGGUAAUAAGGCAAGAGAUUUCUUACCUAGGUGCAUCUGAUUGAUCUGUUUUUUUUUUAACCAAAAGUAUAGAAACAACCUGAAAGCUAGAAUCCAUAUACCAUCAGCUAACUUCUAUUUAUAUCAUUUAUAUAUUUUCUUUGAUGCUAACUUACUUUAUAUGUAAGCAAGAUGGGCUCUUACCAUGCGUCCUGACCAGUUCAAACACUACUUAUUACAAACUCUUUCCUGAUUUCUACAGGCACAGUUAAUUACCUCCCCGUCUGUUUUCUCAAACAAUUCUGCUCAUGUAUAUUAUUUAUCAUUUAUCACAUUGUAUUGUGCAAUCUAUUUACAGGUCUAAAUCAUUCUUUAGACUUUGACCCAUUUGAGGAUUGAGGCUGUCUCACUUAUAAUGAAUCCACAAAAGCAAUAAAUGUGUGACUCAGAUUCUGUGUAAUUCAAAACAAGUUAUUAAACAUUUUACUUAUAGUAUAAAUUAUAUAAAAAAACAUAGUACAAAUUCUAAGUGUACAAAAAACAUAGUACAAAUUCUACGUGAAAUGACUCCUCAGAAUCACUCUCAGGCAUCUCUCACUCAGAGGUACCUCUCAGAAAUACUCUGGUGACUGCUCAGGAUCAUGGAACCUUUCCCUGGUCCAAGAGUAACUACAUUCAGACUUUUAACAUUAUAGUUUCGUAGUAAAUAGUAAGAAAGACUUUUAUACAGUUUUUGUGAUCCUAUAUAAUUUUGGAGUAAAUGAAUUUUUUCCCUCUUUGUUCUAAUAUACAUAUGAAUGAAACACAAACUGAUGAUAAGUUCAAGGCCCAGAAUAAUCCAAAUUUAAUUAUACCCAUAAAAGUGUCAAGUAGUGUUAAUAAUGAUUAUCUAAUUUGAACACUCAAUAGGUAUGAUAUACUAAAAAGUAACUACAAUUAUUUAUCUUCUAGGAACAGAGAAACGGAUACCCCAGAGGGUGAUGGUAUUUGGAGUGAGAAUGCUUAUAGGCCAUACUCUGCUUUACUAGACUUCGAGAAUAAGAAAGAAAUACUCCAGAGGCUAAUCUAAUGAGAAAUAUGUGAAGUGAUUCCACUCUCAGGCUGUGGAAUCCACUAAAACUCAGCUUCUGUAGCAUGAAGGACUGCAAGAGAAGCAACUCUGAAGCGAGAUUGGACUCUGAAGAAUUAUGAAAAAUGAUUUCUUACUUGUUGUUUUGUCACUUCCUAUCUAUCAGUGCAGGAUAGUAUCAGUAAUUGAAAAACACACUAGUUGAGACCCUGGAGUGUUUCUGCCCAAAGGACACCACAGCAUAAAGCUGUGGGGAAGAUGGUUGUAAAUUGAAAGGUCUGCAUCUGCUGCUUUUUGCCUCCUUUGAAGCCACUGAUGGUACAACAUGACAGAAACUCUUAAACUGUCAAGGACUUUCUAUUAUUAUCACUUUUUUCAAAGACACUAAAUAAAGCACUCUGUACUUCUAUUGCUACUCUCCCAUGUGGAUUUUAAUAAUUCUUUAGUUUUUGUUUGAUGGUUUUUAUUCUAUUUUAUGUGUAGCGUAUUUAAAUGUUUACUUUGUCUUUACAAUAUGGCAAGAGUUCAUUGCCUUCUGGAACAUGCAUAAUCUUACCACCAUAUCAGCAUUAUUAGGUUGGGAAACCACAUAAAAGGCCUUUAUCUAAUUGUUACUGAAUUAGUGAAGAAAUGCUCACAUAUUCUUGCCCAUUUAAAGUGCCCAUUUGAUUAAAACAAUGUCAAAAAGCAAAUUUAUUAAAAACCAAUUGGUCAUAGUUUUAGAGAAUACUUUGUGACUUGUAUGUAGAAAAUUAAUGUCAAUGACCUAUAAUCAAUAGAAUAUGUACGUUAAAUGAUUUCCAGUGCUAGUGUUGGGUUAUGCCAGUUCCUUUACUAAUCACAGGGCACAUGUGUGAUAUUGACCUCUGGGGAUGAUGAUAGGGUCUGUGACCUUAAAAAUGUAAAUAGUAGGGUAGGGGAAACUAAAUGCUCAUGGUAUAAAUAAAACACAUGACUUUAGACCAACUAGCAUCAUAUUCCAAGUAGGCAUUUAAACAUAAUAGUAAAUUCCAGAUUAUCCACAACAUGCAUAUUUUUGAGGGAUCACCUGUGUUAACAUUUCUUCCUCACCAGGCCCCCUCCUUGGUCUUUUCCCUGACACUCUAUAAUCAUCUUGGGACUAUAAGCCUCCCUUCUCCCCACCGCACAUCCCCUACAAUGAUAUCUCAAGCCAGACUCUUUGCUGACACCUGCACUAAUAGCAGGGUAGAUUAUCUACUCUUCUUAAUUAUCUCUCCCCCAGCUGCCUCCAUUAGCUUGGAUAAUUGACUGUAUGUAUAACAUUCAUAAGCAGAACAAUGUGCUAUGGAAAAAAAUUAAGGGAGAGAAAAAAAUGAAUCUUUAGUUUAUAUAAGAUUAGCUAUGUGUGGCAUCAGACGUAUGGCAUCUGGAGUUUUGGGGGGAGCAUCUGCUUUUCUUUUGUUGGGAAAGUCGUUAAGAAUUUGGAAUGAGGUUUUUCAAAGAAUAGGAGGAAGUGUUGCAUACAUUUUACAUGGAGAGGGCAUUCAAGAAAGAGAGUUUCCGUGAGGGAAAGUUGCACUCUCAUGAGUGAGAAGACAGGAAGCAGCAAAUACUGAGAGCUAGAGAAGACAAGUUUGGCCAUGAGAUACAGAGCUGCUGAGGAGGCCUGAGAAGGUGAGGGUACCAAUUCAGUGGCAAAUGUUCACUAACAGGACAAUUGUGGAAGAAGAAAACUAUUUUUUUCCAAAGCCUUUGAGUCAAUCCUAUCAAUUGCCCCUGCAAUUUUGUUCCUAUGAAAUAGGUAUUCAUCCCUAUUAUAUGACCAACAAAUCCAAGCAUUAAAAUAGAUGUAGUGAUUUCUGCAAAUUGACAAAUGAUGAGACUGGAAUUUAAAGCCAUAGAAUGUGAUGCCUGGGAAUGGAUUGUGAUCCAGCAGGCUAUUUGAACCAUUUGAACUCUUUAAAAGAGCAUAGUUCAAAGUUGCAUUAAUUUAAAAGAAAACUUAUUUGAACAGAAAAUACAAGUCCUAUGAAAUGAUUACUAUAAGUUUUAUAAUACCUUAAAUAUGUGAACAGUGAAUAUAUAGGGAGGGCAAAAAUGAAAAUAAAUUUGUGAUUUAAUUGUCAGAAUACUUCUUUAAAAGCAAUCAGGAAUACUUAGAUUGAAAACAGAAUUAGAGAAUUAAUUAUCUGUAAAAUAAUCAAAAACAUUUCAUUUUUCUUUGUGUGAGAUUAAAUAGUUUGCACUUUAAUUUUGUAUAUUUUCAAAUUCUCAUAAUAAAGAUUCAGGUCGCUUAUAUUCUAUCUUGAGCCUCUUGGAUGACCUAAGAAUUCCUGGUAUAUUAUUUUUGAGGUUUUAGAAAAAAAGGUGGAAUUUUGUUCUUAUACCUUUUAUGGAUUGACCUCAUAAAAAUGAGUAUACAAAAAAGAAGGGGCACGUUGAGGUGAUUUAUUCAUUGAUCUGGUGUGUGAUGUUGUUAAUUAAAGCUUUUUUGAAAAUUCAGAUUUCAUCUUGCUCUGUUCUCAUGCCAGUAGAAGUGUUUGAAGCCUGAAGGUUUUCAUUUGUGUUUCUGCUGACUUGCACAUUUCACACAAUAGGCCUUGUUAUUAAGGGCCUGAUCAUGGUCAGUGCAAUUUGCAGUGUUGGCUAAUUUUUGAAACUAGCAGUGAAUUUGAAAUUAAUUACAGACUAUUUUGGGUUCAUUAGUGUCCAUGAAGGGUUUUAUGCCUGUUUGUUUGUUUUUAAUUGAGUAGAGGGGACCAAAAAUAACAAAGCCUGCUUUCUCUCAUAUGCAGAGAUAAAGUGGUACAAUCUUCAGCUGAACCAGUGAUAACAGUAGUAGCAAAGAUAGUAUAAUCAAAUGAUUUGGCAUUGAGAGAGCAUAUGCAUCUAUCCUAUUUACUAAUUGUCCAUCCCAAAGCAUGGAAUGGGAGGGACAAAGUUAAAAUAAUUAAGUGACAAAGGAAAUAAUAUGUUUACAAUUUCAUGCAUAUUUACCAAAAGGGGUCACAGUUCUAAGCAUUCCAUAUAAUCAAAUAAUUUAUUAGGUUUGUAAGGUUAACUGCUUACAGCUAAACAACUUGUAGCUUAAUUGCUUCUCAUAACUAGAGUAGAGUUUGAAAUGUCUUUCUGCCCCCUAUCCCCAAAGCGGGAAACCCAGCCUCAGGCAGUGAAAGUGCUAUACAGGAAACAGUAGGUAGCAUAAUUCAGCCAUGUCAAAUUAAUGUUUCUAUCCUGGGAACAUAGAUAGCAUAAUGAAGGAAGAAUAAGGACAUUUAGGAGAGAGAGUCCUUCAGUAGGACGUCCCUUCUGUUUUUAUUUAUGUGCAGCAAAUAAUGAUUUAUUUCCUAUUAAAAAUAAUAUCCUGAAAAUUAAUUUUGGGAGACUAGAUAUACAUUUUGGAUUCAUCCAUUCAUACUUCUUCUACUUUUAAUAUUUGGUUAAUUCCGAAGUAGCUCUCUAAGUUUCCAAAAGGGUUUGUGGGGGCAGGGGUGUGGGUGGAGCAUUGUGUAAAACUUGAGCAAGGAAAUAUCGAACUGAAUAUGUUUUGUACAUGUAGAGUUCAAUGUAUAAAUCUCCUUGUAAGCCAGGUCCGUGACUGCUCUUUGCCUCUGUGGUUUAAAUCCAUCCUUGCUCUCAUUAGAUGAUAGAUUAUCAGCAGAGAGGAACAGCAGGUUUGAAUUCACAAUGAUAGAUAAGGGGCUGAACAAAAGUGUGUUCUUGAACUUGGUUGAACAGCCAGCCUCAUCACCUGAGACAUUUAAAAAUACACAGGAUAAAGAAAAGGAAAAUGCCCUUCAGCGAAAAUCAUUUCCUAUACACAUAGAUAAUCUGUCUUUUCAAGAUUUUGUCUUAAUAUGAAAAGUGGAACUAAUGAUAUGCCAACAGGAGUCUGAGAAAUCUUUAAACUCACACACAGAAAGGAGCUAACAAUUGGGAUGUGAGUUAGAGUGGAGAAGGGCGAUCUGUCCUCUAACACUGGACAUGGAGUGACAAAGCCAGAUGGGCUCAGCUCUACCCAUGGUCUAUCACUUAGCUGAGAAUCUAGUGGCAUGUUGUAGGCCAUCUUUUUUAAGUACCAUUUCUAUAAUUCACAGAGAAAAGAUGGGAACUAGAGAUAAUUCAUGUCAAUGAUUAUGAAAUGAUCUAAGGUUGUUAAUUAGAGGUGAUUUCACUUUUCCAUGAUUCAAGAAGUGAUAUUUCGGCACACUGCAAUGACUGUGUGGAAAUGAUCUUCUUGAAAUAUUCAACAAAAUACAUAAUAUACUGCUUGAGUUUCUCAAUCACCACUAAGAAACAUACUCAAAAGAACUGUUCUCAAAGUAAGUUUCAUAUGAUUCAUACAACUUAGAAAAUUAUAUCUUUCCAGGUAGUAAAAUAUUCACCUUAUUUCCAAAAUAAUCUUGGACACAAGCACAGUGGUGAUUAAAAAAAAAAAAAAAAAAAAAAGUAAGAGAAAAAGACAGAAAGCCAUCUUACUCCAUUAUUUGUUUUAAUCAGCAAUAGCAAAUGAGAUAUGACCUGUUCCAGAUAUUUGGAUUUCUUAAUGUGUUGCAGUAAAUAGAUUGUUGCUCAUAUUAUAAUAGAUUGGACUCACUGCCUGGGGAGGGGGACUGCAUUAUAAUUACAAUGUUGCCAGAAGGGUAACCACAGAAUAUUUCCCCAGGUUCUUAAAUUCCUUUAACUAGAGAGUUUAUUGUGUUUCAUGAACAUUUAUUUGUACUAUUGAGGAAACUUUUGAAGGUCUGAUGUUUUAUUUCCCUUUCUGAGAGAAACAUUAGGGCAUUUUAUAUUAUCUAUUCAAAUACAUAAUGUGUCUGUGGCUAAGAAGAGUUUAGUCCUAUAAAGAAAAAAAA